Molecule: non-coding RNA, 2660 nt
Organism: Physcomitrium patens
Lineage: Eukaryota; Viridiplantae; Streptophyta; Bryopsida; Funariales; Funariaceae
Source: RefSeq, a predicted model, not a curated record
UUUGGGUUUCCAGUUCUGCUUCAGGUUUCAUACUGUCUGCUCAGACGCGGUGCCUAAAAACAGAGCGCGUUAAAGAUUCUACGAGUUAGAGAUUUUAGGUGGCCUAACAUCCCCAACCACGCAUCCAGAAUCAGGGAUGCUAGGGUGCAAUCACACGCUUCGAGAAUUUUGAACCCACAAUCUGUUUCGAUUUCGGGGGACUUUCGUUCAGAGCAGACUUGCGUUGUAGGAUCAGUGUUCGUCGCUCAGCUAGUUGGUGGGUUCCUUGCUGCGUUCUGUUGUUGUGUUGUGAUUCUUGGGGCGUGGGAAAUUGGGGUGUUUAGGAGUGUGGAAGCGAGGAGAUUGAUGCAGGUUGUCAUUUGUCAUUUGGUUUCCGAGGGGUGUAGCAAUUGUAGCAGCGAUGGUGAACUCGAUCGCGGAAACUAUUCGAUUGGGGGAACUAUUGGCAGUUUCAAAUCCGAAACCUCGCUGAGCGACACAACUUCGUUGCUAUGGCCGAAGAUAAACGUCAAAGUGGGCAAAUUCUUUUACAUCUUUGAAAUUGUCUUCGCAUUUCGUUUUCUCGCGUUGCAUUCAUUCCGUCGUGUUCUCUGGCAUCGCACGAGUCACCUGCCUUCUAUUUCAUUGCGCAUUUGAAGCAUAUGACUGUCUUGGUGCUCGCUUGCUAUUUUGCAAUUGCCUUGUGGCGUGUCAGAGGUAAUUACGAGGCUGGAGAUUACAUGCUCUACUAGUGACUUCUGAUAUACCAAGCGCAUCCGGCUGCGUUCUAGCUUGUGCAUCACCAAAGCUGCUCAUCUCGAUGUUCUUGUUACAGAUCAGAUGUUGCAUUGACAUGGUAAAUCCGGGUUUCCUACACUUAGUUUUCUCAGUUGAAGAAAUGUUCGUACGAUAAUGCGACUUAUUCAUUGCACUUAUUUUAUCUGUGUCUCGUAUGUCUUGUGCUUUGUGAUUCGAAUGAUACCAAAAUCUGAUUUGAGAAAGGGAGUUGCUGCAAGGGAUCAAAUUCUCGCUAUAAAAGAUUUAUGUUCUGCUGUGGUGGUGGAAAGCCGUGAACAAACUUGGCUGCCUCAAUUGACUUGUCAUCGGGAGUGUUGAAGUUUGCGGAUGACAGAGCUAGGACUAAUUUUAUAAGAGUACGAGCAUGUUAAAAGUGGAGGUUUUUCACUUUUCAAGUUUGAACAGGAGAUGGCUCUGAAGCAUGGGUCGUUGUUAGUAGACACCAGACAUGCCGUUCACGUGAUGGUCGUUACUAUCAUUACUUGCUGCUCUCUGCCUUGAAUGUAAUAUGCGUUGCUAAAUAAUUAGCUUCACAGCUGUCAACGCGGUUUUCAGGAAGUACUCUGGACAUUGUCACCAGUUUUACCUUAGCACCAUCUGUGGGAGGAUAACCCGUUGCCUAUUUUCAUAAGCUGACAACUUAGAAAUGUUGACAGUUCUGUUUCUCACUCUACAUUAGUUCUCUUGCAUUGCUGAAUCGUCCUUUUGCUUUCUGCAGUGCAGUAUGUGGUGAAAACUUAGUGAGAUUCUCGUGCCUUCAAUAUUGAACCGCACCUGAUGACAGGGCACGUUCAUAGGAAGGGAUUUUUAGGAGUUUUUUUUGUCCAUUACAAUUCUUUUGUGGACGAAUUUCACACGUUUGUAUUGCAGCUUUACAUGUUUACAGACUCUGGACGUGACUUGAUGGAAGUUAUCAGCUCAGUACACUUGAAGUGGUUUAGACAACUACUACUGCUGCAGGUCCACAGUUUGAACUCUACCCGUCACCGGAUAGCAUCAUCUUUUGGGGAUAGGCAAGGAUUAGAGCCUGGAAACAUUCGAAAAAGUUCGUAAUUUUUCUUUUGCUCUGGAUGGGGAACAUAUAAAUAGAGGUUUAAAACCAAACAAUCGGUUCAAAGCUCAACUGCCUCAUUAAAUAAAAUGCAAUAAAAGUCAUAGCAACAUUGGGGUCUGAAAAUGUGAUAGUCUUCGUCCUGAGGCGGAAUAAAGCUGGUCGAGUGUAUUCUCUUCUGUUACAUGCAUCUUACUGAAAUCAGCUACGUCCGGAUGCUCUUUUGAUUUGCGGGAGUUCUUGCACAUGUGGUUCAAGGGCAAGUGCUAUUCUUACGAAGUUUUGGGAGCGUAUUACAAGUACCAAGUCUUUCUCGAUAUCCCCAUCUCAUGUUUCUGAAUACUUCUGUCACUCAAUCAUCAUAAUCAAUAUUUUCAAAAAAAUGUUCUGCGGUUUGAUUUGACUUGACGAAUAUCACGAAAUAGUUCGACAUGAAACCUGUUCAACUAAAAUCCUGACUUGUUUGAAACUUGUUAUCACCGUGCAAUCCAUUCAGUCAGUAAGCAGAGCGAUUUCAGCGAUCAGAAGAGGCACAUUGUGUGGUGCGAAAGCAUUACUGGGAAGCAAUCUCUUGAACAACUUCACGUAAAUCCGGCGGUGCUAAUUUAUUCUGCAUGAUCUCAUCAUACUUAGUUUAAUUAUCGAUUGUCUCCAUUGAAGUGUAGGCCAGCUGCUGGGCUUGAUGCAGCCGUAGUAUUUUGUGAGAGAUUUGUGGUUCCAGGCACUCGACGUACUGCCGCCAGUGAUGCAUGCUUGCCAGGGGAUAAACUUUUUGCAAAUGCUUCGACGGGUUGGCGAGCAAUCAAAUUUUAAUAAGCCUUUUCUUGGAAUA